Molecule: non-coding RNA, 201 nt
Filed under: uncultured Enterocloster sp.
Lineage: Bacteria; Bacillati; Bacillota; Clostridia; Lachnospirales; Lachnospiraceae
Description: Lysine riboswitch
Rfam family: Lysine riboswitch aptamer
About the family: Riboswitches are metabolite binding domains within certain messenger RNAs that serve as precision sensors for their corresponding targets. Allosteric rearrangement of mRNA structure is mediated by ligand binding, and this results in modulation of gene expression. This family includes riboswitches that sense lysine in a number of genes involved in lysine metabolism, including lysC.
Source: RNAcentral
ACUGGUAGAGGUGCGGUUUUUAAGAGUACCACAUUUUGAAGAGCAGCAGGGUGCUGUAUGUGGGGAAGGAAACACCGCCGAAGGAUACGUUUCUGCCCUGAAAGGGCGUAUUCUGGGCCGCCGCAGAAUAUGCGCCGGACUGUCACUCAGCAGGGGGAUCUUGGGGGAGAUCUUUUUCUGCAGUCAGUGGAGCGCUGCCAU